RNAcentral lists this long non-coding RNA (664 nucleotides) under Capsella rubella. Its description in RNAcentral is "long non-coding RNA (CRUB_LNC005221)". Lineage: Eukaryota; Viridiplantae; Streptophyta; Magnoliopsida; Brassicales; Brassicaceae. The record is from RNAcentral.
UUGGGACCCAUGAUUCUGACCUUCAUACCAGUAGAAACCUUACCAGCAAAGACACGACCAAAGGCAAAGAACCUACCCUUGUCAGAGGCGGGAAUCAUCUUAGACACGUACAACAUGAGAGGACCAUUGGGGUCACAGUUCCUGAUGGCAUUGGCAUACUUAUCAUCAAGGGGACCUUCAUACAGAUUCUCAACACGGUACCUCUGGGCAGUGUGGGGAGAUGGCAAAUGGAAGAUCAUCAUCUCAAGUAGUGCAGUACUAGCAGGGAGCCACGUCUGCAUAACACGCUUCAUCAAAGGUUUAGCCACCAGCUCCUUCUCAUCAUUCUUCAUCUGGACACCAAGCUUCUGCAACAUAGGCCAUAACUUGUCCUUCUGGUCAUUCAUGCAAGUAGCGAUGAUUUGCUUGAUUGGUUCGUAGCAGAACUGGACAAAUCCACGCUUGCAGGUUGCUGAACCAGUGUUUUUGGUAGUCCAUUUCCUGGUGGCUGGGUCAAAGAAAUUCUCGCCCCAGAGUCGCUCCAUCAUCUUAGAUUCAUCAACACCAAACUUGGAAGCAUACAUCUUGGCAAAGUUGGUAAGUGUAAACGCCCAACCAUGGAGACCAGCAGAAAAUGCAACAGUUCCUUUCUCAGGAUAAACUUGAACAUCACCAAGGAGAGGAU